UGAGGAAUAUUGGUCAAUGGGGGCAACCCUGAACCAGCAAAGUCGCGUGAAGGAUGAAGGUCUUAUGGAUUGUAAACUUCUUUUAUACAGGAAUAAAUUGGGGGACGUGUCCCCUUUUGAAUGUACUGUAUGAAUAAGGAUCGGCUAACUCCGUGCCAGCAGCCGCGGUAAUACGGAGGAUCCGAGCGUUAUACGGAUUUAUUGGGUUUAAAGGGUGCGCAGGCGGGAUGUUAAGUCGGCGGUUAAAUUUUGCAGCUCAACUGUAAAAGUGCCUUCGAUGCUGGCCUCCUUGAGUGUGGAUGAAGUAGGCGGAAUUUGUGGUGUAGCGGUGAAAUGCUUAGAUAUCACGAGGAACUCCGAUUGCGCAGGCAGCUUACUAAGCCACAACUGACGCUCAUGCACGAAGGCGUGGGGAUCAAACA
This 422-nucleotide ribosomal RNA is filed under the name uncultured bacterium. Its description in RNAcentral is "bacterial SSU rRNA". It matches the Rfam family "Bacterial small subunit ribosomal RNA", at positions 355 to 774 of the family's 1533-position model. The record is from RNAcentral.